GAUGAACGCUGGCGGCGUGCCUAAUACAUGCAAGUCGAGCGAACAGACGAGGAGCUUGCUCCUCUGACGUUAGCGGCGGACGGGUGAGUAACACGUGGAUAACCUACCUAUAAGACUGGGAUAACUUCGGGAAACCGGAGCUAAUACCGGAUAAUAUAUUGAACCGCAUGGUUCAAUAGUGAAAGACGGUUUUGCUGUCACUUAUAGAUGGAUCCGCGCCGCAUUAGCUAGUUGGUAAGGUAACGGCUUACCAAGGCAACGAUGCGUAGCCGACCUGAGAGGGUGACCGGCCACCCUGGACCUGAGCCACGGUCCAGACUCCUACGGGAGGCAGCAGUAGGGAAUCUUCCGCAAUGGGCGAAAGCCUGACGGAGCAACGCCGCGUGAGUGAUGAAGGUCUUCGGUUCGUAAAACUCUGUUAUUAGGAAGAACAAAUGUGUAAGUAACUAUGCACGUCUUGACGGUACCUAAUCAGAAAGCCACGGCUAACUACGUG
RNAcentral lists this ribosomal RNA (496 nucleotides) under uncultured bacterium. RNAcentral's name for it is "partial 16S ribosomal RNA". It matches the Rfam family "Bacterial small subunit ribosomal RNA", at positions 28 to 507 of the family's 1533-position model. The record is from RNAcentral.